This 497-nucleotide ribosomal RNA is filed under the name uncultured bacterium. RNAcentral's name for it is "partial 16S ribosomal RNA". It matches the Rfam family "Bacterial small subunit ribosomal RNA", at positions 28 to 507 of the family's 1533-position model. The record is from RNAcentral.
GAUGAACGCUGGCGGCGUGCCUAAUACAUGCAAGUCGAGCGAACAGAAGAGGAGCUUGCUCCUCUGACGUUAGCGGCGGACGGGUGAGUAACACGUGGAUAACCUACCUAUAAGACUGGGAUAACUUCGGGAAACCGGAGCUAAUACCGGAUAAUAUAUUGAACCGCAUGGUUCAAUAGUGAAAGACGGUUUUGCUGUCACUUAUAGAUGGAUCCGCGCCGCAUUAGCUAGUUGGUAAGGUAACGGCUUACCAAGGCAACGAUGCGUAGCCGACCUGAGAGGGUGAUCGGCCACACUGGAACUGGGACACGGUCCAGACUCCUACGGGAGGCAGCAGUAGGGAAUCUUCCGCAAUGGGCGAAAGCCUGACGGAGCAACGCCGCGUGAGUGAUGAAGGUCUUCGGAUCGUAAAACUCUGUUAUUAGGGAAGAACAAAUGUGUAAGUAACUAUGCACGUCUUGACGGUACCUAAUCAGAAAGCCACGGCUAACUACGUG